Molecule: long non-coding RNA, 1201 nt
Organism: Syngnathoides biaculeatus (alligator pipefish)
Lineage: Eukaryota; Metazoa; Chordata; Actinopteri; Syngnathiformes; Syngnathidae
Exons: 3
Source: RefSeq, a predicted model, not a curated record
UGAUCUUCAUGUCCCGUUCGCGUGCUCCGGUAUCCCUGAUUGAACCUGUGUGUACCGACCUUCGUCCGUUCUCCGACCAACCUUGUGCUUCAAACAAUGCCCUGAGUCAUUCGCAUGCAUCUGGAGCCAACCGAGCAUCUGUCCCUCAGAGCUCCUCCCUGGCCAUAGCCAGGGCAUGUCUCACGUCGCGGGGUAGGGGUUAGAAUUUCAGCUGCGGCCCUCCUAUGCACCCCAGCACAUGUGCUGUCACUCACUGCCUUGGCAACCCGCAGAUGGAUGAAGAAAGAAGUGAGGCAGCUGUUGGUGGUGCAGACACAGACACUGCUUUUGUCAGUCAAUGAAGUCAGUAAACUUUUUUUGUUUCCACUAAAAGAAAAAAAAACAAUCGUGUGUGAUAGAAAAACACAUGAAACUGUCUUUAUUUUUUGCUUUGGUUUCUUCCACUACAUAUCGAUGCAGAAUGGGCAUACAUGGUUAACAUGUAACAAAUUUAUGUGACAAUCAAGACUAUUUGCGUGAGCGAACAUCUAGCAUCACGAAGACUUUAAUACCGACACUGUCAAUUUCAUUGUACGCGCAGCAAUUGAUCAUUAUGAAAUGCUUUCAAAGGAAAUGAUAUGUGUUUUCCCAAAUUGAAACCGUAGUAAUUUUACUGUAUGUGAACUUUGAGGAAAGUAAUGGGAAAAUUAUCUUAAGAAAUAAUUAUUCCGGUAUUUGGUGAAUACAAAUGAAUUUGGUUACCCUAAUUGACCUAAAAUGGGAAACAUUUACUUAUUUAAUUUCAGACAACGAAGGAAAAAAAGGAUUCUUAUGAACACUACCAUAAUCUCUUAAAACAUCUGGUUUCAACUGUGUAACACCAAACAAUCAUUCAUUCUGAUGUACAGUAUUCUUACGGGCACUACAUACAGCAUACGCAGUAUACUGUACUAUAGAGGGCAGUUUAACUGACAUUGUAAUUUAAUGCUGAGGUGACAAAAGUUGAAUUCAUGUUUUCAAGCAGGAGAUUCCCCUCUGUUCUUUCCCCCCAAAAGUAUUUCAUUAAAAAUAGUUAUCUUGUGAAGAUAUCAACUGCAAGGUAUUGUCGGCUUGAUAAUUAAUUGAUGCAAACAUAACCAAAAUCUUGUAGAAAUUAUUUUUCAAAGAGUGAAAUUUGUUACACUGGCUUACCCCUUUGUCUCACCAAAAAAGGUUUUUCAAA